This 482-nucleotide ribosomal RNA is filed under the name uncultured bacterium. RNAcentral's name for it is "partial 16S ribosomal RNA". It matches the Rfam family "Bacterial small subunit ribosomal RNA", at positions 30 to 507 of the family's 1533-position model. The record is from RNAcentral.
AUUGAACGCUGGCGGCAUGCCUUACACAUGCAAGUCGAACGGUAACGGGCCUUCGGGUGCCGACGAGUGGCGGACGGGUGAGUAAUACAUCGGAACGUGCCCGAUCGUGGGGGAUAACGAGGCAAAAGCUUUGCUAAUACCGCAUACGAUCUACGGAUGAAAGCAGGGGACCGCAAGGCCUUGCGCGGACGGAGCGGCCGAUGGCAGAUUAGGUAGUUGGUGGGAUAAAAGCUUACCAAGCCGACGAUCUGUAGCUGGUCUGAGAGGAUGAUCAGCCACACUGGGACUGAGACACGGCCCAGACUCCUACGGGAGGCAGCAGUGGGGAAUUUUGGACAAUGGGCGCAAGCCUGAUCCAGCCAUGCCGCGUGCAGGAUGAAGGCCUUCGGGCUGUAAACUGCUUUUGUACGGAACGAAAAGCCUUCUUUUAAUACAGGAGGGUCAUGACGGUACCGGAAGAAUAAGCACCGGCUAACUACGUG